Dermochelys coriacea (leatherback sea turtle) is the source of this 1185-nucleotide long non-coding RNA. RefSeq lists it as uncharacterized. The record is from RefSeq and is a predicted model, not a curated record. The transcript has 3 exons. Lineage: Eukaryota; Metazoa; Chordata; Testudines; Dermochelyidae.
GGGCUCCAGGUAGCGCUUACCUCGGGAGGGCUCCCCAGAAGCAGCGACAUGUCCCUUGGCUCCUAGGUGUAGGGGCAGCCCCAUGUGGUGCGCGCCGCCUCUGCCCGCAGGCACCACCCCCACAACUCCCAUUGGCUGCGGUUCCUGGCCAAUGGGAGCUGCAAAGCCAGCGCUCAGUGCAUGGACAGUGCGCAGAGGCCCCCUGGCUGUCCCUCUGCCUAGAAACGGAGUGACAUGUUGCUGCUUCUGGGGAGUCGUGCGGGGUCAGGCUUUAUGUGGCUAGGAGCCCUGAAUGAACUAAAGCCCCAGCUUCCUCAGAAGCAAUGUACAGCUGUGUUAUUCUAGAAGAGCUAAUACCAGCACAACCCACAGCAUCAUCCUUGAUUCAAAAAGCUAUUUCCCUGUCAACCACAAAGGAAUAACAAACCAACAAUACUAUACUAAAGGUUAUAUUUUAAAAGAAAACUGGGCUAGAAGUUAUAACCAGUAUGCAAGGUGGCUGAGUUAAUCUUGGAGGACCAAUUUCAACUACUGCAACUUCCUGACUUAGAAGUUUUUGAUAAUUCAAGAUUAAUGCUGAGAUGCCACUAGUUUUUUUAUAUGUAUUUUUCCAGACUUUUAAAGACAUACUAUUGAUGUAAAUAAAAGAAAAAAUGAAACCUGAGGAUGUCUGUCUUGUUGAUGUCACCAAAGCUAACAACUUCCUUGAUCAGAAACCUAUGCCAAAGAUUUCCUGGACUUGUGGCGCUUUUCUCUGCAGAACUUCCAGGCUUUACUAGAUGGCAUCCAGGAUCCUUGUAUCUGGAUUUACUAUGAUAAAAGUCACCCUACAUGGGGAGCUCCUGUCAUACCCCAAUGGCCCCAUCCCUCAGGGGGUCCCCUGGGAGAGGCAGAUCAGCAUUGUAUAUUGCUAAUGAUAUUGCAAGCUUCACAAGCCAUUUUGGGAAGAGACAAAGGUGUGAGUGUGGAGUGGAAGAUUCCUUUUCAGGCUGCGAGAGGCCAAAUGGGGAGGGAGGAAGAGAGCAGAGAACGGGUUAACUCAAUACUUCAGCUAGCUCAGUCCGAAGAUAAGACGAUGGCCCCAGUCCAAGGUCACGGAGCCCGACGAGAAGUCUGCAGCUCUAUUCAUAUCUUAGCCAACCCCAGCCAGCCAUAAGAAAAGGAGAACUAAGCUGAGCAGGACUG